Molecule: ribosomal RNA, 465 nt
Filed under: Vreelandella stevensii
Lineage: Bacteria; Pseudomonadati; Pseudomonadota; Gammaproteobacteria; Oceanospirillales; Halomonadaceae
Description: partial 16S ribosomal RNA
Rfam family: Bacterial small subunit ribosomal RNA
Source: RNAcentral
CCUACGGGAGGCUGCAGUGGGGAAUAUUGGACAAUGGGGGGAACCCUGAUCCAGCCAUGCCGCGUGUGUGAAGAAGGCCCUCGGGUUGUAAAGCACUUUCAGUGAGGAAGAACGCCUGGUGGUUAAUACCCAUCAGGAAAGACAUCACUCACAGAAGAAGCACCGGCUAACUCCGUGCCAGCAGCCGCGGUAAUACGGAGGGUGCGAGCGUUAAUCGGAAUUACUGGGCGUAAAGCGCGCGUUGGUGGCUUGAUAAGCCGGUUGUGAAAGCCCCGGGCUCAACCUGGGAACGGCAUCCGGAACUGUCAAGCUAGAGUGCAGGAGAGGAAGGUAGAAUUCCCGGUGUAGCGGUGAAAUGCGUAGAGAUCGGGAGGAAUACCAGUGGCGAAGGCGGCCUUCUGGACUGACACUGACACUGAGGUGCGAAAGCGUGGGUAGCAAACAGGAUUAGAUACCCUUGUAGUC